AGCUGCUGUCUGUUAUUGAUGACCGUUCCUUCUUUCCUUUUGGGAAGUUGGGAGGGAGAGAACACAGACUGAGUGGU
Small nucleolar RNA from Terrapene triunguis (Three-toed box turtle), 77 nucleotides. Its record names the gene U3. It matches the Rfam family "Small nucleolar RNA U3". From Rfam's summary of the family: Small nucleolar RNAs (snoRNAs) are involved in the processing and modification of rRNA in the nucleolus. There are two main classes of snoRNAs: the box C/D class, and the box H/ACA class. U3 snoRNA is a member of the box C/D class. NCBI's taxonomy places the organism in Eukaryota, Metazoa, Chordata, Testudines, Emydidae. The record is from Ensembl.